AGUGAACGCUGGCGGUAGGCCUAACACAUGCAAGUCGAACGAGUGGCGGACGGGUGAGGAAUACAUCGGAAUCUACUCUGUCGUGGGGGAUAACGUAGGGAAACUUACGCUAAUACCGCAUACGAUUGAAUGAGCCGAUGUCGGAUUAGCUAGUUGGCGGGGUAAAGGCCCACCAAGGCGACGAUCCGUAGCUGGUCUGAGAGGAUGAUCAGGCAAACUGGAAAUGGGAAACGGGCCAGACCCCUUCGGGAGGCAGCCAUUGGGAAUAAUUGAAAAAGGGCGCAAGCCUGAUCCAGCCAUACCCGGGGGGUGAAGAAGGCCUUUGGGUUUGAAAGCCCUUUUGUUUGGAAAACGGUACCCAAAGAAUAAGCACCGGCUAACUUCGUGCCAGCAGCCGCGGUAAUAC
RNAcentral lists this ribosomal RNA (406 nucleotides) under uncultured bacterium. RNAcentral's name for it is "partial 16S ribosomal RNA". It matches the Rfam family "Bacterial small subunit ribosomal RNA", at positions 29 to 526 of the family's 1533-position model. The record is from RNAcentral.